AUGGGAAACAUCAUGAAAGACAUCAACACUAAUGCCUGCUUUCAAGAUUACAAAGUAAACCAACAUGCUUUAACACUCCACAAAGCUUUCCUUCACUCUGUGGUUCCAGUUCUCCUCACUUCUCCUCUCAGCUCCGUGUGGGAUAUUCCGUGAGGAACUGAAGUGAGCACUUCUCAACUCUUUGUUUUCUACAUUCAUGCUAUCAUUUUAACAAAUAUCUUGAAGAUGAAGAUAAAAAGCUGUGGAAAGCACAUCAUUACCGA
RNAcentral lists this long non-coding RNA (263 nucleotides) under Vulpes vulpes (red fox). Its description in RNAcentral is "lncRNA (ENSVVUG00000017888.1)". The record is from RNAcentral. Lineage: Eukaryota; Metazoa; Chordata; Mammalia; Carnivora; Canidae.